GACGAACGCUGGCGGCGUGCCUAACACAUGCAAGUCAACUUGACUGAAGGAGCAAUCUGACAGUAGAGUGGCGCAAGGGUGCGUAACGCGUAAGUAACUUGCCCCAAGGUAAGGAAUAACGUCGAGAAAUCGGCGCUAAUACCUCAUAAUGCAGCGGAUCCGCAUGGAUAUGUUGUUAAAGGUUUACCGCCUUGGGAUAGGCUUGCGUCUGAUUAGCUAGUUGGUGUGGUAACGGCACACCAAGGCUACGAUCAGUAACUGGUCUGAGAGGAUGAUCAGUCACACUGGAACUGAGACACGGUCCAGACUCCUACGGGAGGCAGCAGUGAGGAUAUUGGGCAAUGCUCGAAAGAGUGACCCAGCAACGCCGCGUGGAGGAUGAAGGUAUUCUAUAUCGUAAACUCCUGUGAGAGCAGACGAAAGACAGAUUAUAAUCUGGAUGACUGUAUGCUCAGAGGAACG
This 462-nucleotide ribosomal RNA is filed under the name uncultured bacterium. RNAcentral's name for it is "bacterial SSU rRNA". It matches the Rfam family "Bacterial small subunit ribosomal RNA", at positions 28 to 491 of the family's 1533-position model. The record is from RNAcentral.